RNAcentral lists this ribosomal RNA (498 nucleotides) under uncultured bacterium. RNAcentral describes it as "bacterial SSU rRNA". It matches the Rfam family "Bacterial small subunit ribosomal RNA", at positions 8 to 487 of the family's 1533-position model. The record is from RNAcentral.
AGAGUUUGAUCCUGGCUCAGAAUCAACGCUGGCGGCGUGCCUAACACAUGCAAGUCGAACGCGAAAGGGGAGCAAUCCCUGAGUAGAGUGGCAAACGGGUGAGUAACACGUGGGUGACCUGCCUUCGAGUGGGGGAUAACGUCCCGAAAGGGACGCUAAUACCGCAUGACAUCCUGCUCUUGGACGAGCGGAGAUCAAAGCUGGGGAUCGCAAGACCUGGCGCUUGAAGAGGGGCCCGCGCCUGAUUAGCUAGUUGGUGAGGUAACGGCUCACCAAGGCAACGAUCAGUAUCCGGCCUGAGAGGGCGGACGGACACACUGGGACUGAGACACGGCCCAGACUCCUACGGGAGGCAGCAGUGGGGAAUUGUUCGCAAUGGGCGCAAGCCUGACGACGCAACGCCGCGUGGAGGAUGAAGAUCUUCGGGUCGUAAACUCCUGUCGAAUGGGAAGAACGUUUCGCGGAUGAAUAAGCCGCGGAAGUGACGUACCGUAAAGG